UACGUAGGGUGCAAGCGUUAAUCGGAAUUACUGGGCGUAAAGCGUGCGCAGGCGGUUUUGUAAGACAGUGGUGAAAUCCCCGGGCUCAACCUGGGAACUGCCAUUGUGACUGCAAGGCUAGAGUACGGCAGAGGGGGAUGGAAUUCCGCGUGUAGCAGUGAAAUGCGUAGAUAUGCGGAGGAACGCCGAUGGCGAAGGCAAUCCCCUGGGCCUGUACUGACGCUCAUGCACGAAAGCGUGGGGAGCAAACAGG
Molecule: ribosomal RNA, 253 nt
Filed under: uncultured Comamonas sp.
Lineage: Bacteria; Pseudomonadati; Pseudomonadota; Betaproteobacteria; Burkholderiales; Comamonadaceae
Description: partial 16S ribosomal RNA
Rfam family: Bacterial small subunit ribosomal RNA
Source: RNAcentral